UACGUAGGGUGCGAGCGUUAAUCGGAAUUACUGGGCGUAAAGCGUGCGCAGGCGGUGUUGUAAGACCGAUGUGAAAUCCCCGGGCUUAACCUGGGAACUGCAUUGGUGACUGCAUUGCUGGAGUAUGGCAGAGGGGGGUGGAAUUCCACGUGUAGCAGUGAAAUUCGUAGAUAUCGGGAGGAACACCGGUGGCGAAGGCGGCGACCUGGGUAGAUACUGACGCUGAGGUGCGAAAGCGUGGGGAGCAAACAGG
This 253-nucleotide ribosomal RNA is filed under the name uncultured bacterium. RNAcentral's name for it is "partial 16S ribosomal RNA". It matches the Rfam family "Bacterial small subunit ribosomal RNA", at positions 524 to 776 of the family's 1533-position model. The record is from RNAcentral.